CCGAGCUCCCAGGGUUAAUGG
RNAcentral lists this microRNA (21 nucleotides) under Amborella trichopoda. Its description in RNAcentral is "atr-miR8588". The record is from miRBase by way of RNAcentral. Lineage: Eukaryota; Viridiplantae; Streptophyta; Magnoliopsida; Amborellales; Amborellaceae.